This 356-nucleotide long non-coding RNA is filed under the name Dasypus novemcinctus (nine-banded armadillo). RNAcentral's name for it is "lncRNA (ENSDNOG00000050655.1)". The record is from RNAcentral. Lineage: Eukaryota; Metazoa; Chordata; Mammalia; Cingulata; Dasypodidae.
UCAGAACCCUGUCUUGCUGUUGUUCUUCAUGUCUCUUGUCCCACCAUUCUUUCUCAGCAGGUUUCGAGCCCUCGUUACCGUCCUGCAGGCCAGGACAGACUGGCACCCAACUUUGGGGCUCGAUGAUUCCCUGUAAUCGAGAAAAGAACGUCACUUCAUACAAGGAGGGGAGCGCUCCCUGCAUAUCGGCCGAUGAAAGGCCACAUCUCAGCAGAGGAAAGGAGGACCUCAGCGUCAACCCGUGAAUUCUUCAGUCAUUGGCAGUGGCCAAACGGAAAAUGGAGAACAAAUUUAGUUAUCUGCAAAAAGGAUUAAACUCCAGAAUGAAGAGAUGGAGUCUUCUACAACUUCUGAUG